GCUUACGGCCAUACCAGCCUGGGUACGCCCGAUCUCGUCUGAUCUCGGAAGCUAAGCAGGGUCGGGCCUGGUUAGUACCUGGAUGGGAGACCGCCUGGGAAUACCAGGUGCUGUAAGCA
RNAcentral lists this ribosomal RNA (119 nucleotides) under Salmo salar (Atlantic salmon). The record is from RNAcentral. Lineage: Eukaryota; Metazoa; Chordata; Actinopteri; Salmoniformes; Salmonidae.